UUGUGUGGCUCUGCUGUGGGAGACAAGAGAAGGGAGAAAAGACGGGGGUGAAACACUCCGCAUCUGCCGUUCCCACGGUGGUCGUCCUCGUCGUCCAACCCUGCGCGCCCGACGAGGACCGCGGCAUCCGCACCUUCACCAAGCAGUCCGCGGCGGACAAGCGCCCCAGCUAUGGGCACCGCCCACGAGCUCUGCGCCGGACGGUCCGGUCAAGGAGCUUUGCAAGCAAAGAUACAAAUUCUGACCAGUUGGAGUUGAACAACAAUAAUCAACAACAUGACUCAGGGAAUGACAGCAUGACUGACCAGCAGGAGCAAACAUCUCGUGGCAUUUGUUCACAAGCUACGUAAACUAUAGUUGAUUUGACAGAAAGUGAUGCAUCAGACGGCAUGUUGCUUGAUGGCUUGAGAACAAUCGUAAUUGCAGAAAAGACAAGAGAGGAAGCAGGAAAUGAGUGUUUUAAAAGAGCAAAGGGACAAGGUACUCGUUGACAAAGAAAACUACUUCAAUAUGUUUUUCUACUAACGAGGCCCAGGUCUGUGUACACAUGUGGCCUUUUCCUUCUCAAACAAACAAGAACAAACAAACAAAAAGCCCAACAAAAACAAGGGCAGGUUGCGGGGGUUGUUGGGCUGGAAGGGAUGGGCUGCCCACACAACAAACAAACUGGUCGACACGAGGUGAUCGGGGAGCAACCACGCGUAUUGUUUGUCAACAAGUGGGGACAGAUUAGAUGUAACAUAGACAUACCCUUUUUUUAAUUCAUCAAUAAUUCUUGGACUUUUCUAAAUCCAUGGAAUAUCUUAAAUUUUAUUUAAAAAAAUUCGUGAACAUUUUAAUAAUCCAUGAACAUUUUUUGAAUGUACAUUUAUUUUUUAGUUCUGGUGAAAAUACCACUAGUCGAUAUUGUUCAUUGAACAACAAUUUUUUCUUCA
Triticum dicoccoides is the source of this 935-nucleotide long non-coding RNA. RefSeq lists it as uncharacterized. The transcript has 3 exons. The record is from RefSeq and is a predicted model, not a curated record. Lineage: Eukaryota; Viridiplantae; Streptophyta; Magnoliopsida; Poales; Poaceae.